RNAcentral lists this ribosomal RNA (561 nucleotides) under Penicillium chrysogenum. Its description in RNAcentral is "eukaryotic LSU rRNA". The stretch from base 195 to 347 matches the Rfam family "5.8S ribosomal RNA". The record is from RNAcentral. Lineage: Eukaryota; Fungi; Ascomycota; Eurotiomycetes; Eurotiales; Aspergillaceae.
GACUGCGGAGGAUCAUUACCGAGUGAGGGCCCUCUGGGUCCAACCUCCCACCCGUGUUUAUUUUACCUUGUUGCUUCGGCGGGCCCGCCUUAACUGGCCGCCGGGGGGCUUACGCCCCCGGGCCCGCGCCCGCCGAAGACACCCUCGAACUCUGUCUGAAGAUUGUAGUCUGAGUGAAAAUAUAAAUUAUUUAAAACUUUCAACAACGGAUCUCUUGGUUCCGGCAUCGAUGAAGAACGCAGCGAAAUGCGAUACGUAAUGUGAAUUGCAAAUUCAGUGAAUCAUCGAGUCUUUGAACGCACAUUGCGCCCCCUGGUAUUCCGGGGGGCAUGCCUGUCCGAGCGUCAUUUCUGCCCUCAAGCACGGCUUGUGUGUUGGGCCCCGUCCUCCGAUCCCGGGGGACGGGCCCGAAAGGCAGCGGCGGCACCGCGUCCGGUCCUCGAGCGUAUGGGGCUUUGUCACCCGCUCUGUAGGCCCGGCCGGCGCUUGCCGAUCAACCCAAAUUUUUAUCCAGGUUGACCUCGGAUCAGGUAGGGAUACCCGCUGAACUUAAGCAUAUCA